This 132-nucleotide small RNA is filed under the name Escherichia coli. RNAcentral describes it as "RtT sRNA". It matches the Rfam family "RtT RNA". From Rfam's summary of the family: This family represents a bacterial cis-regulatory element known as RtT RNA. The exact function of RtT is unknown although it is thought that it may be involved in changing the cellular response in relation to amino acid starvation. The record is from RNAcentral. Lineage: Bacteria; Pseudomonadati; Pseudomonadota; Gammaproteobacteria; Enterobacterales; Enterobacteriaceae.
GUUUGCACUCAUCGGGGAAGGGUGAGAACCUUCGACUAAGGUUCGAUUCGAGCGAAAGCGAGAAAACGUUGCCACAGGCAACGGCCCGAAGGGUGAGGAGCGAAGCGACGAAUAAUCCUUCCCCCACCACCA